UACGUAGGGGGCUAGCGUUGUCCGGAAUCAUUGGGCGUAAAGAGCGUGUAGGCGGCCCGGUAAGUCCGCUGUGAAAGUCGGGGGCUCAACCCUCGAAUGCCGGUGGAUACUGUCGGGCUAGAGUGCGGAAGAGGCGAGUGGAAUUCCUGGUGUAGCGGUGAAAUGCGCAGAUAUCAGGAGGAACACCAAUUGCGAAGGCAACUCGCUGGGACGUAACUGACGCUGAGACGCGAAAGCGUGGGGAGCAAACAGG
This 253-nucleotide ribosomal RNA is filed under the name uncultured bacterium. RNAcentral's name for it is "partial 16S ribosomal RNA". It matches the Rfam family "Bacterial small subunit ribosomal RNA", at positions 524 to 776 of the family's 1533-position model. The record is from RNAcentral.